Ostrea edulis (European flat oyster) is the source of this 2998-nucleotide long non-coding RNA. RefSeq lists it as uncharacterized. The record is from RefSeq and is a predicted model, not a curated record. The transcript is spliced from 2 exons. Lineage: Eukaryota; Metazoa; Mollusca; Bivalvia; Ostreida; Ostreidae.
UAAAAAGAAUAAUUAAGCAUAGUAUGAAAGUUGAAAAAAUGAAGAAGAAAAAACCUCGACGGUAUAUAGCCAAUAACGUCACUUGUCCUUAUGCGCUGUUUAUGUUACAGUCAUGACAACGUAACAAGAAAUGGAAAUAUUCAGUCAAAACAACUCAUUUGACAUACUUGUACUGAAGUUAUUUUUUUUUUUUAAAUUCUAACAGAUUAUUAUUGCAAAUAAAGGGAAAAAUCCUAAUCUAAACGCUAACACUUUUAAAUAAGUAUACAUACUUACAUCCAACACACACCGACACCUUGCUCGUAAUGAUUAACUUAUGAAAAAUGUACAUUUUAGUCCUUUCCAUAGCCUACAUCAUAGAUAUUGCCUAUUCAUCUAAUGGAAAUAUACAUCUAUACCUUCUUUUUUUAUUAUUCAUGCAUGUGAGACACUCAAAUGUGAACAAAACUUAAUUCUUUUAGAUUAUAUACAUGUAAUACAUCUACGUGAAAAAGAUAGAGAGAGAGAAAAUACACACAAAUCCCGUGCGCUUUAGCCAUUUUUCACACACAUAUACUUUGGCUGAAUGCGGACAUGUAUGUGAAAAAGAUAGAGAAAAAAACACAAAUCCCGUGCGCAUUAUACCACCUUCAUACUCACGGAUUUUUCUUACGAGUCCUUACGGAUCUCCGACUCAUAGUCAAUCACAAGCAUUCGUAAAUCACUCGUCGGUAUCCGUGUCUAAAUCGUAACUUUAUGGAUUUGUGGAAUACGUAAGGGUCCGUAAGAAAAAUCCGUGAAUGUGAAGAUACCAUUAGCCAUUGUUCACACACGUAUACCUAGGCUGAAGGCGGACACGCUUACAUAGGGAAAUAAAUGUACAUUGUAUUUAGGUUGUAAAACAGUUCUAAUUCAUAAAACAAAAACAAAAACCCAAUCACAGAUUUAUUUACUUUUUCCACGUAAAUAUAGUUAUGUAUCGUUAUAUAAUUUAUUUGCGCAAUACACACGCACACUAAUGUCAAAUGACGUCAAAAUGCAUUUUUAUCGCGUGUAACUUGUAAAAUGCAUUACUAUCAUGAAGAAAUAGGUCUAUGCCCUAUGCCCGUACCUAAAUAUGAUCGUAAGAAUAAAUGAAGCAAAUGUUUAAACCUUUCCGAAUAUGAUAUACGUUUUUAAAUAUUGUGUUUAUCAGAAAAGAUUUUACUAACAGAAUAUAACACAAUUUUUGUCAUUUCGGCUUAAUUUUCCUACUUUCCGGUAACGAUGUGCGAUUUUAAAUGCGUGUUUUCAACUAGUUCCCAACAUCGCACAGAAAAACUUUGAGUAGAAAAAUUGUUUAAUUUUUACUCUACUUUUAGAAAAUAUGAUUUGUUUCAUCAUAUUCCAAUUCUUAACAAAACGCCCCCAAUUUAAUCCCGUCGGCACAUAAAAGGCGUCACUGGGCGUUAAAGGGUUAAACUACACACAUGCAUAUAUUAGUAAAAUUUUGGUGAAUACAUAAUUUUACGUAACAAUGAAAACAACAAGACAUAUAGGCAAAUUAAAGGUGCAAUGGUUAAAAACUGAAUUAGAUAUAAAGGGAAAAAAGUGGUGACUGGAUUUUUGCUACAUUGCGUUCAAGAAGACGCGGAACACUGGUUGUGCCGUGGAAACAUUGAAUUCUGAUUCGGUUCAUUUCAAUAUCAAGUAAAAAGCUUAUCAUCUUUUCAACUAAAUCGCCCUCGUUGAGCCGCAUAUCAUGUAGUUCAAUUUCAUUAAUAUCACCAAGAUCAAAAGUCGCCGCUUGCUCAGUCAUGUUAUCGAACUCGUAAAGCAGACGAUAUAUACCGGAAACUCGUGUGUAUCCGUGUCAUCGCUAUCUGUGUUGUUUCUUUAAUAUGAUUUUGUGUUUCAUUUACACGGUUGGUUUUUUGGUAGCAAUGGAAUAAAACAAACAUAUACAUUUUGGUUACGAUGAUUUUGUGUAAAUCCCCGUUCUAUAAAUAGCGCUAAAAUCAGAACGGGGAAGACGCAUUCCAGAGAAAAGUAGCCCUUGUGCUUAGUGCAGAUGAAAUCGGGACGAAUGUUUUGAAAAUGCCAAGAAAUCAAACCAAUUUUUCAUCCAUACAGCAUCGUUAAGUCAUCACUUUAUUUUUCAAAUGAUUUAACAAAACGCUGAAAUCGACAUGGAUCAAUGCAAAAAUUACGUUCCAUUCCAUUUUUCGUUCCGUCUUCUAGCAAGGCCUCCUUGAAAAUUACUUCCUGUGACGGGGAAUUGCUGACCCCCAUACGUGUGGUGUAAUUCUAAAUCAAUUUGAGAACUGUCAACGCUAAUUACUGAAUAUUGGACAUUGACAGGACAUGUGAGGUGACAGAGAGAAGGACAGAAUUAAACACGUUGUUGAUCGGGUAACGAAUUUUCCUACUUUCGGUUUGAAACAUGCUCUGUAAACAAACCUGCAAGCAAUACUGUAUGCACUCUCCUUAAAUGUCUUCACAUCCGAAGACAUCAAACCAGGAUCUUCAUCCCCUGGUAGGCAUUUUCACUUGUCAGUUCCAGGGGUUGGUCUUCGGCACCAAAUGUAACAACACGGUAGAUAAUGCAACGGAUCAAACCGGGAUUCAAACCCGAGCCCCCUGAAUUUCUCUAGUCAGGUGCUCUACCAACUGAGCUAACUGGCCAUCGGCUAUCGAAUUCGGCUGACCUCUACAACAAUAUAAAUCAUCUAGGGCAACGUUUUAGUACCAAUACUGCAUCGUAAAUCGUCAUCAGGGUGUUAUAAAACAUGGAUAAAAAAACCGGAACAGAACAAGGAAAUUUCUGUUAAUACAUAUUACGUUAGAAAGACGGUGUAUUGUAAAACCAAAAGGCUUGUUAUGAACAAGGGACGCAAAAAUUAUAUUUUUUUCUAAUUACAGUUCCAACGUUUCAUAUACAUAUACUUGACAAAGUAUACCAAUGUAUAUGCAUUCUAAAAUUAUCAUAUUUGUGACAUUAUGUUGUUUUAUGAAAAAAAAGAAUACCUUAAAAGACAAA